UUCUACACAGGUUUUGCUCACAUUAUGUACUUUGUGAAUAUUACAGGUUGACUGCUAAAUAUCGUCUCAAUGAAAAUGAUUAAUGCUUUGAAAGAUGAAUGUUUCAUUUCAUUAUUUUAUUAGGAAAGACAAUCAUGAUAGUGAGCUGUCUUGAUGUGGCUCAAAUGUUUGGUAACAGUGACCUCUAGUGUCCACACAUGAACAGCCCACUGGACCUGAGAAAAGUGUGUGCAGCUCACAUUCUGAAAGAGCUUUAAGAAAUCAUGUAACAGGAAUAAAAUGUGAACAUGCACAAAGUGAAUAUUUUAACAUGCAAAUCUAUACACUGUAUUGUGAAAAUCUAACGCGUUUCAGCGAGUAUUGUAGCUAUGUAUCAACAAUUUGUUAAGAUUUAUGUACACAAAAAAGGAAAAGUUCAGAUCUCAAGAAUAUAUUUUCCAGUAAAAAAAAAAAAAGCUGAAUCAAAAA
Molecule: long non-coding RNA, 468 nt
Organism: Rhinichthys klamathensis goyatoka
Lineage: Eukaryota; Metazoa; Chordata; Actinopteri; Cypriniformes; Leuciscidae
Exons: 2
Source: RefSeq, a predicted model, not a curated record